GCACCGUUAGCUCAGCUGGUAGAGCAAUUGACUCUUAAUCAAUGGGCCGCAGGUUCGACUCCUGCACGGUGCACCA
RNAcentral lists this transfer RNA (76 nucleotides) under Candidatus Margulisiibacteriota bacterium. Its description in RNAcentral is "tRNA-Lys". It matches the Rfam family "tRNA". Rfam says of the family: Transfer RNA (tRNA) molecules are approximately 80 nucleotides in length. The record is from RNAcentral. Lineage: Bacteria; Bacillati; Candidatus Margulisiibacteriota.